RNAcentral lists this ribosomal RNA (599 nucleotides) under Penicillium waksmanii. RNAcentral describes it as "partial small subunit ribosomal RNA". The stretch from base 23 to 488 matches the Rfam family "Bacterial small subunit ribosomal RNA", at positions 40 to 399 of the family's 1533-position model. The record is from RNAcentral. Lineage: Eukaryota; Fungi; Ascomycota; Eurotiomycetes; Eurotiales; Aspergillaceae.
GAUGGCUCUAACUGAACACUGUCCAAGUACUUGACACAUGCUAAUCGUACGACUAAUUAGAUUUUAAAUAAUAUUUAAAAAUAAGUAGUAGUGGUGUACAGGUGAGUAAAUGAUAAAUUGGCUACCUUAAAGUUAGGGGGGAAAUCACAUAAAUUAACUAAUAAUAUAGUAUUAUUAUGAAAAAUUAACUAAUAAUAUAUUAUUAAGUUUAGUAAAGAACAAUAACGAAAAAUUAAUGUAUAAAAGUUUAACUAUGUCGCAAUAGACAUAGAUGCAUUAAUUUAGUUAAUUCGAUAAAAAUCGUGUUUGCUUUAGGAUGUAAAUUUUUAUCUCGGUGAGUAGUAGGAAAGGUAAUGACUUUUCUAGCAAUAACCGUAGUCGUAACUGGAAAGUUGAUCGACCACAUUGGGUCUGAAAAAAACCCAAUGCUUUUUUGUACAGCAGUGAGGAAUAUUGGUCAAUGGCGCAAGGCUGAACCAGUAACUUGGAAGAAUGAAAGUGUAUUUGUAUAAAUACAAUAGUGGUUAAACCACAUAAAAUUCUAAAUAGAUUAUAUAUAAUGACAAAAUCUAUUUAUAAGUCUUGACCAAACUACGUGC